UACAGAGGGGGCAAGCGUUGUUCGGAAUUACUGGGCGUAAAGGGCGCGUAGGCGGCCUUCUAAGUCGAACGUGAAAUCCCACGGCUCAACCGUGGAACUGCUCGGUAUACUGCGGAUCUUGAGCCACCUAGGGGCAACCGGAACAAAUGGUGGAGCGGUGAAAUGCGUAGAUAUCAUUUGGAACGCCAAUGGUGAAAACAGGUUGCUGGGGGUGUGCUGACGCUGAGACACGAAAGCCAGGGGAGCGAACGGG
This 253-nucleotide ribosomal RNA is filed under the name uncultured bacterium. Its description in RNAcentral is "partial 16S ribosomal RNA". It matches the Rfam family "Bacterial small subunit ribosomal RNA", at positions 524 to 776 of the family's 1533-position model. The record is from RNAcentral.